Molecule: long non-coding RNA, 1242 nt
Organism: Perognathus longimembris pacificus (Pacific pocket mouse)
Lineage: Eukaryota; Metazoa; Chordata; Mammalia; Rodentia; Heteromyidae
Exons: 3
Source: RefSeq, a predicted model, not a curated record
ACACACACACACACACACACACACACACACACACACACACACACAAUCAGAAUUGAAAGGGCUGAGUUAUGUAAUUCUCUACAAAUUCUCCCGUGCUGUGGGGAGAUGUUACACUUACUUUAUUUUGAACAUCAAAGUAUUAUUUAGGGAACACACAUUGCCUGAGAUGACCUUCGACAGUGUGCGUUUUGGAUGCUUGUGGAGGUCAGCUGAGGCAGUCGUGUUUUGAAAAGAGGAUGCUUAAAAAAAAAAAUCUAGUAAUAUUCUAGGACAUCUGACCUCACAGUUUCAAGUGUUGGAUUUCUUUGUAAACAAGACUUUUAAAAGAUCACUUAAAAAUGGCACAAGACACUUGAAUAGCCUAGAUCAAAGUGAAGGGGAUAUGUUCAGGGAAACUCAAAAUGGAGCUGUAAUCACAGGAACAGGUGUAAAAACGCAAGGCCACUGAAAGAUUGCAUAAAUGUUCUCCUAGUGGGGUGGGAACAUCUGGCCGUGGGCCAUACAAGGCGAUCCAGUCACUUGGUGCAUGAACACACAGAUACAUGUUCUUCUCAUUGGCUUGCUGAGGCCUGUCUGCCUGUAUUGGUAAUUUUGUAUGGCACUCAAAUGAUGUUAUAAUAUCUAAGCAACCUUUGGCAGCAGAAAGGUUCCCCAUCCCUGUAAAUGUACAUGGAGAUGGAAUAAAACUAGAAAUCUUCCUAAACUAGCAUUAAUACAAAUAAUGUUUGCAUGCAUAGUUAUAUACAUACAAUUUGGGAUAUUACAAUAUUGAGGUGCCAAGGUAAAUCUAUUAAAUAGAGCACAUUUUGGUAUCUCAAUAUAAUACAUAUUAAUGAUAUAGAUUCUUGCAUUUAGAUCAUUUAUCUGACCAAAUUGUCCAUAGAACUUUCUCCACUAUGAUCUACAGGAGACAGUAGAGGAUCACUUAUGGUUGAGGUCACCCUGUGAGCCAGUGGAGAUGUCUUUAAUUUGCCUCUAAUAAAAGGGAAUGAAAAUUGAUGUCAAGAAGUUUUCUCACAUAUUGUCAUCGUGAAUCAUUAUGUCACUAAUGGCACUCUCAUUUCUCACUUGAGCUUUCUUGGUUUGCAAGAGCCAAGUCCAAAUUUAAUAAGAAACAACAACAACAACAACAAAACUCAGCAGAAAAUAAAAUGAAUAAAAACUAUAAUAACCGAGAGAGAGCAAGGGAAAGGGUGACGUUGUCCAAAAAUAAAAAUGUACUCAUUACCUGAGUUAUGUAAC